GCCUCCUACACGUGGCGCGUGCCUGCCAUUGUGACGAGUCACAGGAAGCAGAAGCGUGGCCUGCCGUGACCACCGGGCCAUCGAGCAGGAAGUCCCGCCCCUUCCGGUGGUCCCAGAGCGCUGAGUUGCCCCGUGCUAUACGGCACGUUCUCAUCAACCAUCUGUUUUAUGCACGGGUCAAGUUAUUGAGCAUGCCUAAUGGAAAUUUGGUUUCAAGAAAGUCAUAUAGCAAAAACCACUGAAAAAAUAAGGAAAGCACAGACUUUCUGGGUUGUGUGAAGUUGGUCAACUUCCUUAACAUUGCUUUUUUCUCUUCUGUGUGAAAGAGAAUGGAUAAACGCGAGCUAAUCUUCAGAAAUUCUCCAGAUGCGAAUGCGGGGUCGUUCUCAGAUGAGAGAGAUCUUUGUAGAAAACUGUUAAUGCACAGAAAUGGGGGGAAGUGAAUUCAGCCAGAAGUGAUGGCAAGAGAGCGAUCAGAGAGCUUGAUGCAGACGGAUGCUAUCGGAGGAGCUAGACGAAGACCAGGCUGAUUGAAGGAUCCAGGAAGUGAGGAGGAAAUAGCCUCGGGUGCUAAUUUGGGUUUAAUCAGUGGGGAAAUGACCUCCUCUCCCCAGGCCCAGAGGAUGCAAUUAAAGGCUUUGUGACCAACUAAA
This is a long non-coding RNA of Odocoileus virginianus texanus, 653 nucleotides long. RefSeq lists it as uncharacterized. The record is from RefSeq and is a predicted model, not a curated record. Lineage: Eukaryota; Metazoa; Chordata; Mammalia; Artiodactyla; Cervidae.